Bos taurus (domestic cattle) is the source of this 73-nucleotide non-coding RNA. Lineage: Eukaryota; Metazoa; Chordata; Mammalia; Artiodactyla; Bovidae. The record is from Rfam.
UCCCUGGCAGUCUAGUGGGUGAGACUCCUUGCUUCCACUGCAGGUGGUGUGGGUUAGAUUCCUGUCCAGGGAA